Molecule: small nucleolar RNA, 106 nt
Organism: Gossypium arboreum
Lineage: Eukaryota; Viridiplantae; Streptophyta; Magnoliopsida; Malvales; Malvaceae
Rfam family: Plant small nucleolar RNA R71
About the family: R71 is a member of the C/D box family of snoRNAs containing the C (UGAUGA) and D (CUGA) box motifs.
Source: Rfam
AACCCAUGGUGAUGGCACCUCCUCAAUAGAUCCUUAUAUCUUUCCCAUGCAUCAUAGAGUGUUUCUAAAUCAUCUACACAAAAGAAGAAAUGUCAUUCCUUAAUUU